UACGUAGGGUGCGAGCGUUAAUCGGAAUUACUGGGCGUAAAGCGUGCGCAGGCGGUUUGGCAAGUCAGAUGUGAAAUCCCCGAGCUCAACUUGGGAACUGCGUUUGAAACUGCCAGACUAGAAUAUGUCAGAGGGGGGUAGAAUUCCACGUAUAGCAGUGAAAUGCGUAGAGAUGUGGGGGAAUACCAAUGGCGAAGGCAGCCCCCUGGGAUAAUAUUGACGCUCAUGCACGAAAGCGUGGGGAGCAAACAGGAUUAGAUACCCGAGUAGUCC
Molecule: ribosomal RNA, 273 nt
Filed under: uncultured Methylophilus sp.
Lineage: Bacteria; Pseudomonadati; Pseudomonadota; Betaproteobacteria; Nitrosomonadales; Methylophilaceae
Description: partial 16S ribosomal RNA
Rfam family: Bacterial small subunit ribosomal RNA
Source: RNAcentral